This 317-nucleotide ribosomal RNA is filed under the name uncultured beta proteobacterium. Its description in RNAcentral is "bacterial SSU rRNA". It matches the Rfam family "Bacterial small subunit ribosomal RNA", at positions 8 to 330 of the family's 1533-position model. Lineage: Bacteria; Pseudomonadati; Pseudomonadota; Betaproteobacteria. The record is from RNAcentral.
AGAGUUUGAUCCUGGCUCAGAUUGAACGCUGGCGGCAUGCUUUACACAUGCAAGUCGAACGGGGUUAAGGGGCUUGCUCCUUAAUCUAGUGGCGAACGGGUGAGUAAUGCAUCGGAACGUACCCGGGAGUGGGGGAUAACGCACCGAAAGGUGUGCUAAUACCGCAUAUUCUGUGAGCAGGAAAGCAGGGGACCUUAGGGCCUUGUGCUUCCGGAGCGGCCGAUGUCGGAUUAGCUAGUUGGUGAGGUAAGGCUCACAAGGCGACGAUCCGUAGCGGGCUGAGAGGAUGAUCCGCCACACUGGGACUGAGACACGGC